This 1061-nucleotide long non-coding RNA is filed under the name Panthera leo (lion). Its description in RNAcentral is "lncRNA (ENSPLOG00000011070.1)". The record is from RNAcentral. Lineage: Eukaryota; Metazoa; Chordata; Mammalia; Carnivora; Felidae.
GGGGAGGGGCCCUGGGGAGGGUGGGGUCUGCCUUGUUUGUAGCUGAAUUCCUAUCUGCUAACAUCAUGAGGGCCACAGAGUAGAUGCUCAAUAAAUGUAUUCGGUGAAAGAAUGCAUGAUGGACAAGGGCUCUAGGACAUCCCUCGCUUGGUCCCCUCAUUUUUCAGAUGAGGAAACUGAGGCCAUAAGGAGUCAGAGACCUGCCAGCCGUACUGCCCUGCCGGAGAGUCAGAACUCAGUCGGCAGGGGACGCCAGGGCAGGGGAGGGCUGGCGCGUGGCGACAACCCCUCAGGGGUGGUGGGCCUGGGGCUCCUGAGUCCCUCUGGGCAUCUCAGAUCUUCAGAGCCCCACGUAGACAAUGUGAGGCGAGCGGCCGCAGCAGCUGUGCAGGCGGCAGGUACAUGUGAGAAGUUUGUGAGAGGAGCUGAGAGAAAGGGAGAGGAAGGCGGGCGGCUGCGAACACCUGGCCGGGCAGCCCCGCCAGCUGCCUGCCCGCGAUGGCAUCUCGAGUUCGGGCAGUCCUAUCGGGCUAUCUCCCAUUCCACCCCUCCUCCCUGUCCUCCCCUUCUCUCCGAAGUGGAGCUUGGCCAGGGAUGGAGGUGGGAACUGGUAGCCACUGGCUUCUGGAAGCGGCCUCUGCCGGAAGCAAGCCUGGAGCGGGGCCAGCCUCUGAGCCUCUGGAAUAGAGGCCACCUCGCCUUCUGGGAGAGAAGUAAAGCCUGCUCUUCCUCCCAGUCUCAGCCUCUGGGCUUGGGGGAUGGGGUGGGGUGGAGAUUCUGGUGCCAGCCCAAGACCUUCAUUAAAAGCAGGUUCAGAAGUUAGAAAAACCUGGGCUCUAAUGCCCACCCUACCAUGCUUCAAUGUGUGGCUUGGGGGAAAAAAAUCAGUCUCGCUGUGCCUCAGUUUUCUCAUCUGGGAAAUGGAGAUAAUAAUAUAAUGUCAAAGUCUUGAUGUGGAGAUUCAGUUAUAAUUCUUUUCUAAAGCACAUAACCCAGAGCCUGGCAGUCCAUAACUGGUUUUUCUUGUUAUUACCAUCAUCCUACUGCCAAAAUCGUAGGGG